GAACGCUGGCGGCGUGCCUAAUACAUGCAAGUCGAACGCUUCUUUUUCCACCGGAGCUUGCUCCACCGGAAAAAGAAGAGUGGCGAACGGGUGAGUAACACGUGGGUAACCUGCCCAUCAGAAGGGGAUAACACUUGGAAACAGGUGCUAAUACCGUAUAACAAUCAAAACCGCAUGGUUUUGAUUUGAAAGGCGCUUUCGGGUGUCGCUGAUGGAUGGACCCGCGGUGCAUUAGCUAGUUGGUGAGGUAACGGCUCACCAAGGCCACGAUGCAUAGCCGACCUGAGAGGGUGAUCGGCCACAUUGGGACUGAGACACGGCCCAAACUCCUACGGGAGGCAGCAGUAGGGAAUCUUCGGCAAUGGACGAAAGUCUGACCGAGCAACGCCGCGUGAGUGAAGAAGGUUUUCGGAUCGUAAAACUCUGUUGUUAGAGAAGAACAAGGAUGAGAGUAACUGUUCAUCCCUUGACGGUAUCUAACCAGAAAGCCACGGCUAACUACGUGCCAGCAGCCGCGGUAAUACGUAGGUGGCAAGCGUUGUCCGGAUUUAUUGGGCGUAAAGCGAGCGCAGGCGGUUUCUUAAGUCUGAUGUGAAAGCCCCCGGCUCAACCGGGGAGGGUCAUUGGAAACUGGGAGACUUGAGUGC
This 647-nucleotide ribosomal RNA is filed under the name Enterococcus faecium. RNAcentral's name for it is "bacterial SSU rRNA". It matches the Rfam family "Bacterial small subunit ribosomal RNA", at positions 31 to 649 of the family's 1533-position model. Lineage: Bacteria; Bacillati; Bacillota; Bacilli; Lactobacillales; Enterococcaceae. The record is from RNAcentral.